Molecule: long non-coding RNA, 191 nt
Organism: Etheostoma cragini (Arkansas darter)
Lineage: Eukaryota; Metazoa; Chordata; Actinopteri; Perciformes; Percidae
Exons: 3
Source: RefSeq, a predicted model, not a curated record
AUCAAAAGCAUUAUUAGAUCUUGGUAGAAGCCUGCCGCAUACUUAUUGGCUCCUGGAUGCUGAUGAGAUUUACUCCUUAUGUAUAGAAAUGUGGUAUUGAAUAAAGAGGCCUUUUUCGAUACUAUAGAGGCAUUUCGGUUAGUGCCUAAAAAGUAUUGAAUUUGGUACUCAACCCUAUAAUUAAAUCUUAA